AGGGAAUCUUCCGCAAUGGACGAAAGUCUGACGGAGCAACGCCGCGUGAGUGAUGAAGGUUUUCGGAUCGUAAAGCUCUGUUGCCAGGGAAGAACGUCUUCUGGAGUAACUGCCAGGAGAGUGACGGUACCUGAGAAGAAAGCCCCGGCUAACUACGUGCCAGCAGCCGCGGUAAUACGUAGGGGGCAAGCGUUGUCCGGAAUUAUUGGGCGUAAAGCGCGCGCAGGCGGCUGUUUAAGUCUGGUGUAUAAUCCGGGGGCUCAACUCCGGGUCGCACUGGAAACUGGGAGGCUUGAGUGCAGAAGAGGAGAGUGGAAUUCCACGUGUAGCGGUGAAAUGCGUAGAGAUGUGGAGGAACACCAGUGGCGAAGGCGGCUCUCUGGUCUGUAACUGACGCUGAGGCAUGAAAGCGUGGGGAGCAAAC
Molecule: ribosomal RNA, 424 nt
Filed under: uncultured bacterium
Lineage: Bacteria
Description: bacterial SSU rRNA
Rfam family: Bacterial small subunit ribosomal RNA
Source: RNAcentral